UACGUAGGGUGCAAGCGUUAAUCGAAAUUACUGGGCGUAAAGCGUGCGCAGGCGGUUGUGCAAGACAGAUGUGAAAUCCCCGGGCUUAACCUGGGAAUUGCAUUUGUGACUGCACGGCUAGAGUGUGUCAGAGGGGGGUAGAAUUCCACGUGUAGCAGUGAAAUGCGUAGAUAUGUGGAGGAAUACCGAUGGCGAAGGCAGCCCCCUGGGAUAACACUGACGCUCAUGCACGAAAGCGUGGGGAGCAAACAGG
Molecule: ribosomal RNA, 253 nt
Filed under: uncultured bacterium
Lineage: Bacteria
Description: partial 16S ribosomal RNA
Rfam family: Bacterial small subunit ribosomal RNA
Source: RNAcentral